RNAcentral lists this transfer RNA (69 nucleotides) under Rhacophorus tuberculatus. RNAcentral's name for it is "tRNA-Val". The record is from RNAcentral. Lineage: Eukaryota; Metazoa; Chordata; Amphibia; Anura; Rhacophoridae.
CAAAAUGUAACUUAACUAAAGUCUUUCGCUUACACCGAAAAAAUGCUCGUGAAACUCGAGCCAUUUUGA